UAGGGAAUCUUCCACAAUGGACGCAAGUCUGAUGGAGCAACGCCGCGUGAGUGAAGAAGGUUUUCGGACCGUAAAGCUCUGUUGUUGGUGAAGAAGGAUAGAGGUAGUAACUGGCCUUUAUUUGACGGUAAUCAACCAGAAAGUCACGGCUAACUACGUGCCAGCAGCCGCGGUAAUACGUAGGUGGCAAGCGUUGUCCGGAUUUAUUGGGCGUAAAGCGAGCGCAGGCGGAAGAAUAAGUCUGAUGUGAAAGCCCUCGGCUUAACCGAGGAAUUGCAUCGGAAACUGUUUUUCUUGAGUGCAGAAG
RNAcentral lists this ribosomal RNA (307 nucleotides) under uncultured bacterium. RNAcentral describes it as "partial 16S ribosomal RNA". It matches the Rfam family "Bacterial small subunit ribosomal RNA", at positions 355 to 654 of the family's 1533-position model. The record is from RNAcentral.